Non-coding RNA from Doryrhamphus excisus (bluestripe pipefish), 3675 nucleotides. Lineage: Eukaryota; Metazoa; Chordata; Actinopteri; Syngnathiformes; Syngnathidae. The record is from RefSeq and is a predicted model, not a curated record.
CGCGGGGGAGGAGAUCGCUAAUUGAGACUGCAAGGGAACGUUGUGGAUGCCACCCACGGGAGUACUAAUGAAACAUCGUACAUGACUACUACCAGGAGAACCAGAGUAUAGAGGGGGAGGAGCCGCCUGCCAUGGCCCAGCAAGGUGCACUGUAUUCGGGCACACGCUCCGAGCAGCCCCUGUGCCGCCCUGGAGGCAGGUUCUCCUGAAGGUGCCAGCAUCACGGAAGGAACUUACUCGUGGCGCCGACCACGGGACAUCAGCACAACAAAGACACCCAACAAGACUCGACCGGGUAACAUCUAGGCAGCGCUAACCAUAGCCACGGAAAGGGACCGCAAAGCAUGCUGGGUACUCCCCCCAAGAUUUCCAUAGGUUGUAACCUUUGGCCGGUUAAGCAAAGAUCUCGACAUCAUCCAGCAUCCUCGGCCACAGAUGAAGCGCAGUACGUCAUAUUUCCCAUUCAACAGGAAGUAGAAGAGCAAAGUGUAGGAAAGACCCAAAUCCACAGCUUAGCAGACAAAUCAAAGCCAGUUAAGACGCCGACGUUGUGAUGUUCAUCCCCGCGUUGGUGUCAGCAGGCUCCUCCAUCAUGCCGUCCAUCCACACGUCGGCUUCACAAGGACAGCCUGGGAUUUAUCGCCGUGAAUCAGCGGUCGCACGCGCACACACGAAGCGCGGCCUCGACUGGCCGACCCGCACGUUUGAUUAAUCUCACCGAAAGAAGACACGGCUAACUUUGUUAGCGUGGGAUUACACGGCAGCGCUACACGGGCGCCGCAGUACGUGAAGGUGAUGGAACGCGUAGCAACAUCACGCUUUAACCACGCCUUUCAAGUCCUAAUUAGAAGAAUGAUGCCACCAUUUUGUGCUAACUUGGGUCAUUUCAUUCAUUAUUAUAUUGAUUUCAUAUUGACACUUUUGACAUAUUAUCCUUAUUAUUUCUAUGAAAUAUCACUCUCUCACUGCAGUAUAUCAUCCUUCCAUCCAUUUUCAUAGCUAUGGACAAUUUAGUCACGCUAUCGUGGUUUUGCAAAAGCAGGAAUAAAUGAAGGUUGUUUCAUGGUUAUGGUUAUGGCCUAUUAUGACUCCAACAAUAUUGAAGUUAUAUGUUUAUGUGCAUACUACAAGUUAUAUGUGGAGCUGGGGUCACGGCCAUCAGUACUGGCAGAAUAGCAUCCCUUUUCAAAAUGCCAAAUGCUUAUUUUGAAGGUGUUGGCAGCCAUCAGUGAAAUGAUCACUGCAAAGAACAGAACUGUGUACUUCCUUCUGUGUACUAACUUCCUGUAUUGCUGUCUUAAAGCUUCCACUUUUGGGAAAGAAAACAAACUUCCAGUAUGACUGGGAUACUGUGAACAUCCAGCAGCAACGCAACAUUUUGGCGCGACUACUGUUUGUAUCCAAAACUGAAGUCCAGCACGGACCUGGAGGAGCAUGUGUCUACUCUGCUUGAGCUGCGAGGUGUCACCCACCCCACGGAAGGAAUGGAAUGAAUGGAAGGAGACUGGGUGAAGAUGUCGGUGGCGUAGAAGCCGAGUGAGUCAGCCAUUCACAGCGCCCAUUGAUUUGGAGGGGGUGUCGGACAGAGAAAGAUGCUCCUGAGGUUAAUCUUGGAAUCAAUUUUUUGGAGCACAUCUUUUCUCCUCACUCUCUCGUCGGCACGAAACCACACACACACUUUGGGAGGGCCUCACGUGGCGCGUGGCACGGGUGGGAUCUGCAUCCAAACACGGCCAGCGUGCUAGUAUCAGGAGACAGACGCACUGAUGUCUCAUGGGGACCAAAGGGAAGUGGCAGUGCCUUGCACAAGGGCACUUUGCACACCUCGCAGUAUUCCACAAAGGGAAGACGGGAAGUUUGCAGCUUGUUCAUGUCAUUAGGCUGUACAGUCAAGGCCUCUUCAUGAACAUGAAGGAAGGACAGUAGCGGGAUCCAGAAUCCAGGAUCCAGGAUCCAGGAUCCAGGAUCCAGGAUCCAGGAUCCAGGAUCCAGGAUCCAUAUCUGUAGUGGUAGGUCACACCAAUGAAUCCCACAACAUUAAAAACAGCUCAGAUAAUCCACCAUUGAGACAACAACGCACUCCUUUUUUCUCCCGCCUGCGACGGAAUUUCCCUGCUGCCCUUGAGCUAAACAUCCACUUUCACCAAAUGCUCCCCAUGAGGGAACAAGACUAAACAAAAACCGAUUCAAGUAAAGAACGCAAAUAUCGGCUCGAUAUAUCAGCCAGCUUUUAUUUGAAAAGUGCAAAAACUUUCCCGAGACCUCCGUGGCCUCACAGCAGCCACUUGGAGCGUGUGCCCGAAUACAGUGCACCUUGCUGGGCCACAGUAGGCGCCACCUCCCCCUCUAUACUCUGGUUCUCCUGGUAGUAGUCAUGUUGUGAUGUUUCAUCCUCCAGUCCUUCCUACCGCCGGCUACACGCUACACUUACGUCUACAUUUGGAAAAGUACAUCAAAAGUAUUAUCGGUAUCAUAUUGGUCUUGAGAAGAACAAUGUUCAUCACUACUAAGUUUGUGAAACUUGGUCUUAUUUUGCACUGAGCCAAUUCAAGCUGUUCUGCACCGAUGGUGCUCCCGUGGCCAAGCCAGCUAAGAGCCUCUGCUACAGAAUAGAGGAUCUUUGACAAGCGGUCUCGCUCCCAGUCAUAGAGGAUCUUUGGUGUUUUUUGGCAUGUUAAAACCAGCAGAGUGGUGCUACCGUGGAGGAGACCUUUGCUCUUUUCAUCCAUGACUUUAUUUGUUGAGCCGGACGUGAGAAGGUACGCGUGUCAGAGAACCACAACCUUUGUAGCUUUGAGAAGAUGUGAAGAAGAGAAGAUUGGCAGCCAUCACUGGCAUUGACGUGCAGCAUGAUAUGAUGGUCACCAUCUCCAUAGCUUCCCUCCCGGCCACGCAUGCACACAAACGCCACCGCGUCUCCAUGGCGAUGGGGGCCCUUCCCAUGCUGUACGACACCCAAUCAGGCUACCAUGUACGGAAUCCCAGGCCUUUCAACGGAACGCCACAAGGAGAGACUGCUCGCAUCCUUCCUCUUCCACAUGCUGCAUCGCCAUCGGCAAAACAAAACCAUCGUGCACGGAAUGUGGGCCUGCACGGCGUCCACAUGCUGACAUGGUUCACAGUGACCCGGUGCACCAUGCAGGGGGGGGGGGGUAAAGCAUUCUCUACAUUUGAAAGCAGAUAAGUGCCUCUUACCCUUGGAAGCAUCCUUGUCUUCUUUAGGCUUCGCCACUUUUCCGCUCAUAGAUCCCAGUUUGGAUGCGUAAUUCCCGAUUGAGGCAAGAAUUCCCUGGAUGGCCGGCUCUGUCCUCAAUCAAAUCCUUCCCAAGGAGUCCAGGUGCGGAGAUAAGGCUUCUGUGGAGAGUGGCGGAGGGCAAACAUUCACACCAAUUGCUGAUUUUACGCACAAAGAGGAGGCGAUCAUGGAGCCCCCCCCCCCUUCUCUCUCUCUCUCCUGUGCGUGGUGGGGGGGUUCGAGCGGGGAAAACAAACCGUGUGAUAAUGACGAUGAUGAUGAUGGUGGUGAUGCUGCCAUAUGUCACACAAACACACGCACACGCACGCCAACAUGCGUGGCAGAUAUCCUACCUUAUCUCGUCCGCGCUGUGCGCCUCAUCAACGCACAUGGAUGGACGCUCCCGCCAUCAGGCUUGCAUGGACGACCAGCCUGCACGA